Molecule: RNA transcript, 1702 nt
Organism: Solanum verrucosum
Lineage: Eukaryota; Viridiplantae; Streptophyta; Magnoliopsida; Solanales; Solanaceae
Gene name: tRNA dimethylallyltransferase 9
Exons: 12
Source: RefSeq, a predicted model, not a curated record
GGACUUGGCUCCUCUCCGGUAGCCAAUCGGUCCAGUUGCUCCAGUCAUGAUAAGCACCGUCGGGACUGGUGGCGUUCGAAUAAGCAGCUAUCUCCGGCUGCCGUACACGGUGGAGACACUUCUCCGCCGCCGUUGCCGUCUCUUCACCUCCUGCUCUGCCUCCUCUACCAAAGAGAAAGUUAUUGUCAUUUCCGGACCUACCGGUGCCGGUAAAAGCAAGCUAGCAUUAGAGCUCGCUAAGCGACUCAAUGGUGAAAUCAUCAGUGCGGACUCUGUACAGGUGUAUCGAGGGCUUGAUGUCGGUUCAGCGAAGCCUUCCUUUGAUGAAAGAAAGGAAGUAGUACAUCAUCUGGUUGACAUAUUGCAUCCAUCCGAAGAGUAUUCUGUUGGACAAUUUUUUGAGGAUGCUAGGCAAACUACCAGAGAUAUCCUUGAUAGGGGCCGUGUUCCAAUAGUCGCGGGUGGUACUGGAUUAUAUUUGCGAUGGUUUAUUUAUGGGAGGCCAGAUGUUCCGAAAGCCUCUCGAGAGAUUGCUGCUGAAGUUGACUCAGAGCUUGCAAGUUUACAGAAUGAUGAAGACUGGAAUGCUGCUGUUCAGUUGUUGGUUAAAGCUGGUGAUCCUGGUGCCCAGUCUUUACCGGCAAAUGAUUGGUAUCGCUUGCGUCGCAGGCUUGAAAUUGUUAAGUCUACUGGGUCACCUCCAUCCGCUUUUGAAGUACCAUAUAAUUCUUUCAGAGAACAGCUAGUAUCAGGUCAAAUAGAUGCUGCUGAAGUCAAGACUUCUGCUGACAAAUUGCAGCAGAAUGAAAUAAAGGAUUUGGAUUAUGAUUUUCUUUGUUAUUUCCUUUCCACCAAUAGGAUAGAUCUUUAUAGAUCAAUUGAUUUUCGGUGUGAAGAUAUGCUCUUAGGAGCAGAUGGAAUUCUAUCUGAGGCAGGGUGGCUUCUUGAUGUGGGUCUUUUGCCGAACUCGAGUUCUGCUACUCGAGCAAUUGGUUACCGACAAGCAAUGGAAUACCUUCUAAGAUGUAGGGAAAAUGGAGGAUGGAGUUCAGCUGGGGACUUCUAUGAAUUUUUAUCUGAAUUUCAGAAAGAAUCACGAAAUUUUGCAAAAAGGCAGAUGACAUGGUUUCGCAAUGAACAGAUUUAUGAGUGGAUAGAUGCUUCUAAACCUUUGGAAAAGGUGCUUAGCUUUAUAUGUGAUUCGUAUAACAGUCAGGAUGGCCAUUUCCAGAUGCCUGAGUCACUUCGUAUGCGGAAAGAUAUAAGAAAUCACCGUCAAUCUGCAGAAUUGAAGACCUAUCGUACAAUAAACAGGCAUUUCAUUGGGCGUGAAGAUUGUGUGGAUGUUCUGGACUGGAUAAAGAAGACAUAUGGCCAACCGACUGACUCUCUUUGUUAACCAACAUCUAAAGGACCGUCUUUCACUUCAAGUUGUCAAAAUCAAAACAUCCAAAAGUUGUUCUCGUUGUUAUCGAGUAUUGCGAAGGUUGAGGUUGUUAAAAUUGAAGAAGGUUGCAGCUAAUGAGGCCGCCGAGCUGUGGCUGGGGAUGUCAAUCUGCAUCUGGGAAAUUUUGUACUUGUAGGAUUCUGUUCAAGAACUCUAUUUGCCAGAAAAUCAUACAUUUCCCAAAUUUGUGACUUUUUUUGAGCCAUGUAUAUUUAUUUGCAGUUGUUCUAUAUAAUAAUGCACUUAAGUUCUUAU